This 305-nucleotide ribosomal RNA is filed under the name uncultured bacterium. RNAcentral describes it as "bacterial SSU rRNA". It matches the Rfam family "Bacterial small subunit ribosomal RNA", at positions 338 to 660 of the family's 1533-position model. The record is from RNAcentral.
CCUACGGGGCGCAGCAGUGGGGAAUAUUGCACAAUGGGGGAAACCCUGAUGCAGCGACGCCGCGUGAGCGAUGAAGUAUUUCGGUAUGUAAAGCUCUAUCAGCAGGGAAGAAAAUGACGGUACCUGACUAAGAAGCCCCGGCUAACUACGUGCCAGCAGCCGCGGUAAUACGUAGGGGGCAAGCGUUAUCCGGAUUUACUGGGUGUAAAGGGAGCGUAGACGGCAGGGCAAGCCUGAUGUGAAAGCCCGGGGCUCAACCCCGGGACUGCAUUGGGAACUGCCCCGCUCGAGUGCCGGAGGGGCAG